Molecule: transfer RNA, 71 nt
Filed under: Cuscuta vandevenderi
Lineage: Eukaryota; Viridiplantae; Streptophyta; Magnoliopsida; Solanales; Convolvulaceae
Description: tRNA-Gly
Rfam family: tRNA
About the family: Transfer RNA (tRNA) molecules are approximately 80 nucleotides in length.
Source: RNAcentral
GCGGAUAUGGUUGAAUGGUAAAAUAUCUCUUUGCCAAGGAAAAGAUGCGGGUUCGAUUCCCGCUAUCCGCC